AUUGAACGCUGGCGGCAGGCCUAACACAUGCAAGUCGAGCGCGAAAGUUCUUCGGAAUGAGUAAAGCGGCGGACGGGUGAGUAAUACAUGGGAAUCUGCCUGGUAGUGGGGGACAACGUUUCGAAAGGAACGCUAAUACCGCAUACGCCCUACGGGGAAAGGGGGGAGUCGCAAGACCUCUCGCUAUCAGAUGGACGCCC
Molecule: ribosomal RNA, 200 nt
Filed under: uncultured bacterium
Lineage: Bacteria
Description: partial 16S ribosomal RNA
Rfam family: Bacterial small subunit ribosomal RNA
Source: RNAcentral